This 232-nucleotide unclassified non-coding RNA is filed under the name uncultured fungus. RNAcentral's name for it is "sequence contains ITS1". The stretch from base 1 to 105 matches the Rfam family "5.8S ribosomal RNA", at positions 50 to 154 of the family's 154-position model. The record is from RNAcentral. Lineage: Eukaryota; Fungi.
GAAAUGCGAUAAGUUAUGUGAAUUGCAGAAUUCCGUGAAUCAUUAAAUCUUUGAACGCACAUUGCGCUCCCGGGUACUCCCGAGAGCAUGUCUGUUUGAGAAUCAGUUUAACCUCUCACGUUGUUUAAAUCUUUUUUCUCGCUUUAGGUGUUAUCGCCGGCUUCCAGCCACUAAACCCCCCUAUUUUCUAAUGGUUGACCUCGGAUCAGGUAGGACUACCCGCUGAACUUAA